RNAcentral lists this ribosomal RNA (442 nucleotides) under uncultured bacterium. RNAcentral describes it as "partial 16S ribosomal RNA". It matches the Rfam family "Bacterial small subunit ribosomal RNA", at positions 338 to 795 of the family's 1533-position model. The record is from RNAcentral.
CCUACGGGAGGCAGCAGUGGGGAAUAUUGGGCAAUGGGCGCAAGCCUGACCCAGCAACGCCGCGUGAAGGAAGAAGGCUCUCGGGUUGUAAACUUCUUUUGUCAGGGAAGAGUAGAAGACGGUACCUGACGAAUAAGCCACGGCUAACUACGUGCCAGCAGCCGCGGUAAUACGUAGGUGGCAAGCGUUGUCCGGAUUUACUGGGUGUAAAGGGCGUGUAGCCGGGUUGACAAGUCAGAUGUGAAAUCCUGCGGCUUAACCGCAGAACUGCAUUUGAAACUGUUGAUCUUGAGUACAGGAGAGGCAGAUGGAAUUCCUAGUGUAGCGGUGAAAUGCGUAGAUAUUAGGAGGAACACCAGUGGCGAAGGCGGUCUGCUGGACAGCAACUGACGGUGAGGCGCGAAAGCGUGGGGAGCAAACAGGAUUAGAUACCCCUAUAGUC